UUGCACUGUUCGUAACCUCUUAACAGUAUCUUUCUGAUAAUGGGUUCCAUUCCAGUGCUACAUGAUACCCCAAGAUAAUAAAAGGCUGGCUGUUUGUCUGCCUGCCCUCUUUACUUUGGGGGACAUAA
This 128-nucleotide small nucleolar RNA is filed under the name Calidris pugnax (ruff). Lineage: Eukaryota; Metazoa; Chordata; Aves; Charadriiformes; Scolopacidae. RNAcentral also lists the same sequence under 1 other name. The record is from RNAcentral.